UGGAGGGGGCUAGCGUUGUUCGGAAUCAUUGGGCGUAAAGGGCGCGUAGGCGGCCGAUCAAGUCGGAGGUGAAAUCCCUCGGCUCAACUGAGGAAUUGCCUUCGAUACUGUUCGGCUUGAGUCCUGGAGAGGGUAGCGGAAUUCCCGGUGUAGCGGUGAAAUGCGUAGAGACCGGGAAGAACACCAGUGGCGAAGGCGGCUACCUGGACAGGUACUGACGCUGAAGCGCGAAAGCUAGGGGAGCAAACAGGAUUAGAUACCCUGGUAGUCCUAGCUGUAAACGAUGGGCACUUGGUGUUGCGGGUAUCGACCCCUGCAGUGCCGAAGCUAACGCAUUAAGUGCCCCGCCUGGGGAGUACGGUCGCAAGGCUG
This 372-nucleotide ribosomal RNA is filed under the name uncultured organism. Its description in RNAcentral is "bacterial SSU rRNA". It matches the Rfam family "Bacterial small subunit ribosomal RNA", at positions 526 to 896 of the family's 1533-position model. The record is from RNAcentral.